RNAcentral lists this ribosomal RNA (405 nucleotides) under uncultured bacterium. RNAcentral's name for it is "partial 16S ribosomal RNA". It matches the Rfam family "Bacterial small subunit ribosomal RNA", at positions 28 to 526 of the family's 1533-position model. The record is from RNAcentral.
GUUGAACGCUGGCGGCAUGCCUAAUACAUGCAAGUCGAGCGAAGCGGGGACGGGUGAGUAACAUGUGGAUAACCCCCUAUAUGACGGGGGUAAAUUCGGGAAACCGGUGCUUAACCGGAUACUUAUCGAUGGAUCCGCGCUGCAUUAGCUAGUUGGUAAGGUAACGGCUUACCAAGGCCACGAUGCCUAGCCGACCUGAGAGGAUGAUCGGCCACACUGGAACUGAGACACGGUCCAGACUCCUACGGGAGGCAGCAGUAGGGAAUCUUCCGCAAUGGGCGCAAGCCUGACGCAGCCACGCCGCGUGUGUGAAGAAGGUCUUCGGAUCGUAAAGCACUGUUAUUAGGGAAGCGGUACCUGCUCAGAAAGCCACGGCUAACUCCGUGCCAGCAGCCGCGGUAAUUC